This 155-nucleotide ribosomal RNA is filed under the name uncultured Solobacterium sp. RNAcentral's name for it is "partial 16S ribosomal RNA". It matches the Rfam family "Bacterial small subunit ribosomal RNA", at positions 372 to 524 of the family's 1533-position model. The record is from RNAcentral. Lineage: Bacteria; Bacillati; Bacillota; Erysipelotrichia; Erysipelotrichales; Erysipelotrichaceae.
UGGGGGAAACCCUGACCGAGCAACGCCGCGUGAGUGAUGACGGCCUUCGGGUUGUAAAGCUCUGUUGUAAGGGAAGAACGGUAGAUAGAGAAUAUCUAAGUGACGGUACCUUACCAGAAAGCCACGGCUAACUACGUGCCAGCAGCCGCGGUAAU